AGUAAUGCAUAUUGCCGAAGACAGUAGGUGCCGAAAGGCGUAAACGUAGUGCCUACCGAGGAAGUUUUAAGAUGGGAUAACCAUCGCUUAAAAUGACUUAUACCUCUCUGUCUAGGCAGAGAGGUUUCUUUGAUUU
RNAcentral lists this small RNA (136 nucleotides) under Lachnobacterium bovis. RNAcentral's name for it is "Ribosomal protein L10 leader". It matches the Rfam family "Ribosomal protein L10 leader". From Rfam's summary of the family: This family is a putative r-protein leader autoregulatory structure found in B. subtilis and other low-GC Gram-positive bacteria. It is located in the 5' untranslated regions of mRNAs encoding ribosomal proteins L10 and L12 (rplJ-rplL). The record is from RNAcentral. Lineage: Bacteria; Bacillati; Bacillota; Clostridia; Lachnospirales; Lachnospiraceae.